CCUCACUUGUAAAGAUAUUUUCUAGCUAGCUUAUCUUCAGAAAGUUUGUCCAAUAAAAAAUGCGUGCCAAUAGUUUCAAAUUCAUGCUAGCCACAUUAUAAGAUUAUAGUAAGAUAAGAUAUGAUUGUGGCCUUAGCUUGUGGGACCAACUAUUUAAGGUUCGAGUUGCUAACUUGACAUACUCCCUUUAUCCUUGUUUUAUCGCUACAUGCCCACAUAUUCUUCUCUAGAGAGUCUCGACCCUUUGAAAUUGAUUCAUAGCUUACAUAUAAUGGUAAUUAAGUUUUACCACACGAUCUUUAUCUAUCUCUCAAUGGGCCCAAUUUAUCAAAUUAUGUGCAUAUUUUACACUCAAUUUUUAUAAAAUGAAUGUUGAUUAUGUGACAAUUAAAGAGAAGAAACCAAUAAAGUCUUGGAUGAGGGCAUGUGGCUAUGUACAAUAGGUUUCAGGUUUCAAAUACACCUUGUAUUGUAAAGAGGACAAAAGAACUGCAGAAGGGUAAGGGAAGGGCCUAUGUGGGGCUAUAUAAAGAGGUUUAAACCCCCUUUGUAUGGCACACUGUAUCAGCAAUAAUCAACCCUUAAAAACACACUAAAAAAACAAUGAAGAAAUGGGUUGUUCUGGUUGCUAUUGUACUGGUAAUGGGCAGCAAUGGUCUUGCGGAAGGUGAAUUUUCCGACGACUAUCAGCAGCUUCCAAUUUCAAAUAUUUUACUCCAAGGAGCUAGAGCCGCAGCCGCAGCCGCAGGCGAAGGCGGAGGCGGAGGUGGGGUGGUUGAUGAUAAUAAUCUAAAGUGCGCUGUACAAGGGCAACGGUGCAACCCUAAUAACCCAAAUCAAUGUUGCUAUGGAAACCGAUGUAUGUUCGUUGGCCAUACCGUGAGUGUGUAUGCAUGCGUAUGGUGCCCAACACCUGGAUUUCCUUGUGGUCGUCUUGACCCGUGUUGCCCCGGAUUCACCUGCACCGCCUUCUUUUCCGGUAGCUGCGUCAGAAACUAGUUAUUCUUGGUUACGUUGUGGAUGUAUCAUCGGAUGUUAAUUCGUUCAUGAAUCAUGGCUGCGUUAUGUGUUGUAUGUUUGUCUUCGCCCUUGGUGUUAUAUUUGUGUUGUACGGUCGUCUUAAUUUGGUUUAAUUUGCUUUGUUAAAAUUAAGUUGUACUCUUAAUUAUUCCAUGUCUGGUUCUAAGACAACUAGGGGUAUGUUGUUGUUUAUCUCUGAAUAAAACAAUAGUACAUGUAGUCAAAUGUAUAUAUUUUCAUCUGUUCUUUUAAUAUUGCACUAUGUUGACUUUUACGCUUCUCGGCA
Molecule: long non-coding RNA, 1306 nt
Organism: Spinacia oleracea (spinach)
Lineage: Eukaryota; Viridiplantae; Streptophyta; Magnoliopsida; Caryophyllales; Amaranthaceae
Exons: 2
Source: RefSeq, a predicted model, not a curated record